RNAcentral lists this ribosomal RNA (429 nucleotides) under Bacteroidota bacterium. RNAcentral describes it as "Bacteroidetes bacterium partial 16S ribosomal RNA". It matches the Rfam family "Bacterial small subunit ribosomal RNA", at positions 355 to 776 of the family's 1533-position model. The record is from RNAcentral. Lineage: Bacteria; Pseudomonadati; Bacteroidota.
UAGGGAAUCUUCCGCAAUGGACGCAAGUCUGACGGAGCAACGCCGCGUGAGUGAAGAAGGAUUUCGGUUCGUAAAACUCUGUUGUUAGAGAAGAACAGCGCAUAGAGUAACUGUUAUGCGUGUGACGGUAUCUAACCAGAAAGCCACGGCUAACUACGUGCCAGCAGCCGCGGUAAUACGUAGGUGGCAAGCGUUGUCCGGAUUUAUUGGGCGUAAAGCGAGCGCAGGCGGUCAAUUAAGUCUGAUGUGAAAGCCCCCGGCUCAACCGGGGAGGGUCAUUGGAAACUGGUUGACUUGAGUGCAGAAGAGGAGAGUGGAAUUCCAUGUGUAGCGGUGAAAUGCGUAGAUAUAUGGAGGAAAACCAGUGGCGAAGGCGACUCUCUGGUCUGUAACUGACGCUGAGGCUCGGAAGCGUGGGUAGCAAACAGG